RNAcentral lists this small RNA (295 nucleotides) under Arabidopsis thaliana (thale cress). RNAcentral describes it as "ATSL276750". The stretch from base 1 to 66 matches the Rfam family "Plant small nucleolar RNA R71", at positions 42 to 107 of the family's 107-position model. Lineage: Eukaryota; Viridiplantae; Streptophyta; Magnoliopsida; Brassicales; Brassicaceae. The record is from RNAcentral.
CUCUCAUGCUUCACAGAAGCUUUCACCAGCUUUCUGUAAAAAGCCGGAGAUCUCAUUUCUGAGUCUUGCAGUUCUGGCGUUGGAGAAGAACUUUGAUAGAAAAGCCUUCUUGCAAUCAUCCCAGGUGGUGAUUGAGUCAUGGAGCAGAUUCUUCUCCCAGAUGUGUGCUUUGUCGCCCAAGGAGAAUGGAAACAAACGGAGCUUGAAUCCGUUUUCACUGACACCAUUGAUUUUUGUUAGGUUGUAGAGCCUAUCGAAUUCAUCAAGGUGGUCGAGUGGAUCCUCCAUUGGCAAA